Molecule: long non-coding RNA, 276 nt
Organism: Populus nigra (black poplar)
Lineage: Eukaryota; Viridiplantae; Streptophyta; Magnoliopsida; Malpighiales; Salicaceae
Exons: 3
Source: RefSeq, a predicted model, not a curated record
UUCAAAUCUUAUCUCUAAUCAAGCAAAGAAUGAAGACGGGAUUUAUGAGCUGAGAAAGGGUGAUUUCUCAAUUAAGGUGACCAAUUUUGGAGCAACCCUGCUUCCCGUUGUUCUCCCAGAUAAAAAUGGAAAAUUAGAGGACGUUGUUCUUGCAUUUGAUCCAGUUGAUGAGUACAAGGUGGCCCUGAAGGUUUUAGUGAGGUUGUCUGGGAUGUAGCUAGUCAUAACGAUAAACAUAUAACAUUCACGUACAACAGCUUUGAUGGAGAGGAAGGU